UACAGAGGGUGCUAGCGUUGUUCGGAAUCAUUGGGCGUAAAGGGCGCGUAGGCGGUUUGUUAAGUCAUGUGUGAAAUCCCUCGGCUCAACCGGGGAACGACGCAUGAAACUGGCAAGCUAGAGUACCAAAGAGGGGGGUGGAAUUCCCGGUGUAGCGGUGAAAUGCGUAGAUAUCAUUAGGAACACCGGUGGCGAAGGCGGCUUACUGGGUCUUUUCUGACGCUGAGGCACGAAAGCCAGGGGAGCGAACGGG
Molecule: ribosomal RNA, 253 nt
Filed under: uncultured bacterium
Lineage: Bacteria
Description: partial 16S ribosomal RNA
Rfam family: Bacterial small subunit ribosomal RNA
Source: RNAcentral